CUACGGGGGGCAGCAGUGGGGAAUAUUGGACAAUGGGCGCAAGCCUGAUCCAGCCAUGCCGCGUGUGUGAAGAAGGCCUUUUGGUUGUAAAGCACUUUAAGCGAGGAGGAGGCUACCUGUAUUAAUACUAUAGGAUAGUGGACGUUACUCGCAGAAUAAGCACCGGCUAACUCUGUGCCAGCAGCCGCGGUAAUACAGAGGGUGCGAGCGUUAAUCGGAAUUACUGGGGCGUAAAGCGCGCGUAGGCGGUUUGUUAAGUCGGAUGUGAAAUCCCCGGGCUCAACCUGGGAAUUGCAUUCGAUACUGGCAAGCUAGAGUAUGGGGGAGGAAGGUAGAAUUCCAGGUGUAGCGGUGAAAUGCGUAGAGAUCUGGAGGAAUACCGAUGGCGAAGGCAGCCUUCUGGCCUAAUACUGACGCUGAGGUGCGAAAGCAUGGGGAGCAAACAGGAUUAGAUACCCGCGUAGUC
Molecule: ribosomal RNA, 466 nt
Filed under: uncultured bacterium
Lineage: Bacteria
Description: partial 16S ribosomal RNA
Rfam family: Bacterial small subunit ribosomal RNA
Source: RNAcentral